GGCUGGGUGAUGGAAUUGGUAGACUUGGCGGAUUCAAAAUCCGCUGCCGAAAGGCGUGGGGGUUCGAGUCCCCCCCCAGCUACCA
RNAcentral lists this transfer RNA (85 nucleotides) under Methylophaga thalassica. RNAcentral describes it as "tRNA-Leu". It matches the Rfam family "tRNA". Rfam says of the family: Transfer RNA (tRNA) molecules are approximately 80 nucleotides in length. Their secondary structure includes four short double-helical elements and three loops (D, anti-codon, and T loops). Further hydrogen bonds mediate the characteristic L-shaped molecular structure. tRNAs have two regions of fundamental functional importance: the anti-codon, which is responsible for specific mRNA codon recognition, and the 3' end, to which the tRNAs corresponding amino acid is attached (by aminoacyl-tRNA synthetases). tRNAs cope with the degeneracy of the genetic code in two manners: having more than one tRNA (with a specific anti-codon) for a particular amino acid; and 'wobble' base-pairing, i.e. permitting non-standard base-pairing at the 3rd anti-codon position. The record is from RNAcentral. Lineage: Bacteria; Pseudomonadati; Pseudomonadota; Gammaproteobacteria; Thiotrichales; Piscirickettsiaceae.